UGGCUCAGUGGUUAAGAGCGCUGGUCUUCCAGAGGUCCUGAGUUCAAUUCCCAG
RNAcentral lists this transfer RNA (54 nucleotides) under Mus musculus (house mouse). The record is from Rfam by way of RNAcentral. Lineage: Eukaryota; Metazoa; Chordata; Mammalia; Rodentia; Muridae.